RNAcentral lists this ribosomal RNA (253 nucleotides) under uncultured bacterium. Its description in RNAcentral is "partial 16S ribosomal RNA". It matches the Rfam family "Bacterial small subunit ribosomal RNA", at positions 524 to 776 of the family's 1533-position model. The record is from RNAcentral.
UACGUAGGCAGCAAGCGUUGUUCGGAGUUACUGGGCGUAAAGGGUGCGUAGGCGGUCCUAUAAGUAUGGUGUGAAAUCUCCCGGCUUAACUGGGAGGGUGCGCUAUAGACUGUGGGACUAGAGUGUGGGAGAGGAAGGUGGAAUUCCAGGUGUAGCGGUGAAAUGCGUAGAUAUCUGGAGGAACACCGGUGGCGAAGGCGGCAUUCUGGACUGUAACUGACACUGAGGAACGAAAGCCAGGGGAGCAAACGGG